Elaeis guineensis (African oil palm) is the source of this 1788-nucleotide non-coding RNA. The record is from RefSeq and is a predicted model, not a curated record. Lineage: Eukaryota; Viridiplantae; Streptophyta; Magnoliopsida; Arecales; Arecaceae.
GGACAUCCAACUGGUACGGUGCAUCAAGGCCGAUUUUUGUCGGUGUUGACGGUGCCCGUCCCGUUUAGCCUCGCCGCGCGCUCAGUGUUGUGCCCACAGCAGUGGCCCCCGCCUCUGAGGCCCGCGCUCGAACUUCUCAGCGCCCUACCACCACCACCUGCGCCCCGGCCGUUGUCGCCCUCAGAUCUCUAACUUUCCCAUGGCUUCUCCCCCCUCCAAGGGCGUCACCGUCCCCGUUCUUCUCCUCUUCGCCACCUGCACCACCGUCCUCCUUCUCUUCCUCCUCCUUCCUUCCCUCUCCCCCUCCUUCUCCUCCUCCUGCCCCGCCAUCACCACCACAUCUUCCACCGCCGGCAGCGGCGCUACCUCCUCCAUCACCGACCCAAGAUUCCGACAUCAGAUCUCCCCGACCCCGGAUGACAUCGCUUGGCUGAAAUCCCAGCUCAGCCUCAACUCCAUCCAAGAGCCCCCCACGUCCCCCGAAGCCUGGCACUCCCUCCGUAAGGGCAUAAACCCUCGCACCCGCGCCGAACAGCUCGAAGACCUCCGCCGAUUCAAAGGCAUCUCCCACUACGAGGGCGACACCGACAAUCACACCGCCCUCCCCUGCCCCGGCGAACUCCUGGUGGAGGAGCACCACAGCAACUACGGCGAGCCGUGGGCCGGCGGCCGCGACGUCUUCGAAUUCCUCGCCAAUGCCGUCGCCCUCGCGCCCUCCGACCUCGUCCUCGAGAUCGGCUGUGGCACUCUCCGGGUUGGUCUCCACUUCAUCCGCUACCUCGACCCCACCAGCUUCCACUGCCUCGAGCGCGACGAGCUCUCCCUCAUGGCCGCUCUCCGCUACGAGCUCCCCUCCGAGGGCCUCCUCUACAAGCAGCCCCUCAUUCUUCGAGGGGACGACAUGGAGUUCGGCCGCUUCGGCGAUGGCAUUUCCUAUGAUCUCAUCUAUGCCAGUGCUGUGUUCCUCCACAUGCCCGAUGCUCUCGUCUGGGUGGGGCUGGAGAGACUGGUGGAGAGGUUAAAACCUCAGAAAGGUCGGAUCUUUGUGUCCCACAACAUCAAGUUCUGCUCGCGGCUCGGUGGCGAUGAGUGUACAAGAAGGCUGACAAAGUUGGGGUUGGAGUAUGUUGGGAAGCACACACAUGAUAGCUUGCUGUUUAACCACUAUGAGAUUUGGUUUGAAUUCAGAAGGCCCAAAGCUUAGAGUUAUUUGGGAAGUUGUUAGAUGUUUCAAUGAGGAGCUGAUAAUGGCAAUGAUCUUCGUUGGCAUUGACAAGAUCUGAACUUUCCUAUGGAAGGAUGAUGGAACUUUAAUGGGCUUGUCUGUUUUGGCUACGUCAUGCAGCGCGCCAAACAAUGAUUCAUUUGAAAGUAUUCUUUGGAGAAUCUAGUGGGGAGAAAUAGGCAAAGGAUUGAAUAUUUCUAUGCUAUGCCAGAUUAUACUUGGUGAGGCAGAUCUUGGAAAGGAUUAAUGUGCCAUAAUUCUAAAAUGAAGCCGGAGCCUUAUGCACAUGCAAUCUAAUAGACCAUUCUUUCCUUUACAUGGUAGAGCUAAAAGUGCAAGCACAAACGUCCUAUAAUGACCAUUCAUCGUGGUCAAUCGAACCUCAUUCUUUGAACAUUGUAAAGUACAUUAUUGCUAGAUGCAGGUUUAAAGCUGUUCAAUGGAAGUCUCGGCUAUGUUACAUGUUUGAGGAAAGCAAUUGAAUUGUGUGGCUUUAGACAUUGUCAUCACCUGAAAGAUUUUUACAUAUUGUUCUUCACUGAAAAAUCCCUUUCUUUAUUUAC